RNAcentral lists this ribosomal RNA (490 nucleotides) under uncultured bacterium. RNAcentral describes it as "partial 16S ribosomal RNA". It matches the Rfam family "Bacterial small subunit ribosomal RNA", at positions 30 to 507 of the family's 1533-position model. The record is from RNAcentral.
AUUGAACGCUGGCGGCAGGCCUAACACAUGCAAGUCGAACGGUAACAGGAAGAAGCUUGCUUCUUUCCUCACCAGUCGCGGACGGGUUAGUUAUGACUGGGACACUUCCUGAUGGAUGGCGUUCACUACUGGAAACGGUAGCUACUACCGCCUAACGUCGCAAGACCAAAAAGCUUGGCCUUCCAGGCUCUCGCCAUCGCCUGUGCCCAGUUGGGAUUAGCUAGUAGGUGGGGUAACGGCUCACCUAGGCGACGAUCCCUAGCUGGUCUGAGAGGAUGAACAGCCACACUGGAACUGAGACACGGUCCAGACUCCUACGGGAGGCAGCAGUGGGGAAUAUUGCACAAUGGGCGCAAGCCUGAUGCAGCCAUGCCGCGUGUAUGAAGAAGGCCUUCGGGUUGUAAAGUACUUUAAGCGGGGAGGAAGGGAGUAAAGUUAAUACCUUUGCUCAUUGACGUUACCCGCAGAAGAAGCACCGGCUAACUCCGUG